UUACAGUAACAUAUAACCUUUUUCGAUUUAUUCAUAAAAAAAGUGAAUUUAAAACAAAACUGAUUUUUGAAUUAUGUCCACGUUUGCUAUAGUCACAGCUUUGAUCUUUUAACCUAAAUUGUUUAACCCCUUAAGGACCAAACUUCUGGAAUAAAAGGGAAUCAUGACAUGUCACACAUGUCAUGUGUCCUUAAAGGAACACUAUAGACAUCCAGACAACUUCAGCUUAAUGAAGUGGUGC
Molecule: non-coding RNA, 241 nt
Organism: Pelobates cultripes (western spadefoot toad)
Lineage: Eukaryota; Metazoa; Chordata; Amphibia; Anura; Pelobatidae
Source: the annotation of a GenBank genome assembly